Molecule: ribosomal RNA, 544 nt
Filed under: Salmonella enterica
Lineage: Bacteria; Pseudomonadati; Pseudomonadota; Gammaproteobacteria; Enterobacterales; Enterobacteriaceae
Also listed under: 1 other name
Description: partial 23S ribosomal RNA
Rfam family: Bacterial large subunit ribosomal RNA
Source: RNAcentral
GGGCUAAACCAUGCACCGAAGCUGCGGCAGCGAACGUAUCACCCAAGACAACUUUACGGAGUUGACGAUUGACGGAGCGAAGCGACGUCAAAGCGUUCAUUAAAGUCGAGUUGGCUUAGGGAUACGUUCGUUGGGUAGGGGAGCGUUCUGUAAGCCUGUGAAGGUGUGUCGUGAGGCAUGCUGGAGGUAUCAGAAGUGCGAAUGCUGACAUAAGUAACGAUAAAGCGGGUGAAAAGCCCGCUCGCCGGAAGACCAAGGGUUCCUGUCCAACGUUAAUCGGGGCAGGGUGAGUCGACCCCUAAGGCGAGGCCGAAAGGCGUAGUCGAUGGGAAACGGGUUAAUAUUCCCGUACUUGGUGUUACUGCGAAGGGGGGACGGAGAAGGCUAUGUUGGCCGGGCGACGGUUGUCCCGGUUUAAGCGUGUAGGUGUGUGUUCCAGGUAAAUCCGGUUCACUUUAACACUGAGGCGUGACGACGAGGCACUACGGUGCUGAAGCAACAAAUGCCCUGCUUCCAGGAAAAGCCUCUAAGCAUCAGGUAACAC